RNAcentral lists this unclassified non-coding RNA (520 nucleotides) under uncultured Glomus. RNAcentral describes it as "SSU rRNA". It matches the Rfam family "Eukaryotic small subunit ribosomal RNA", at positions 569 to 1089 of the family's 1831-position model. The record is from RNAcentral. Lineage: Eukaryota; Fungi; Glomeromycota; Glomeromycetes; Glomerales; Glomeraceae.
AGCAGCCGCGGUAAUUCCAGCUCCAAUAGCGUAUAUUAAAGUUGUUGCAGUUAAAAAGCUCGUAGUUGAAUUUCGGGAUCAAUUUGCUGGUCGUGCCUCUGGUACGUACUGGUAUUAUUGGUUUCUCCUUUCUGACGAACCAUGAUGUCAUUAAUUUGAUGUCGUGGAGAAUCAGGACUGUUACUUUGAAAAAAUUAGAGUGUUUAAAGCAGGCAUUAGCUUGAAUACAUUAGCAUGGAAUAAUGAAAUAGGACGUUUGAUCCUAUUUUGUUGGUUUCUAGGAUUGACGUAAUGAUUAAUAGGGAUAGUUGGGGGCAUUAGUAUUCAAUUGUCAGAGGUGAAAUUCUUGGAUUUAUUGAAGACUAACUACUGCGAAAGCAUUUUGCCAAGGAUGUUUUCAUUAAUCAAGAACGAAAGUUAGGGGAUCGAAGACGAUCAGAUACCGUCGUAGUCUUAACCAUAAACUAUGCCGACUAGGGAUCGGAUGAUGUUAAUUUUUUAAUGACUCAUUCGGCGCCUU